Molecule: ribosomal RNA, 497 nt
Filed under: uncultured bacterium
Lineage: Bacteria
Description: partial 16S ribosomal RNA
Rfam family: Bacterial small subunit ribosomal RNA
Source: RNAcentral
GAUGAACGCUGGCGGCGUGCCUAAUACAUGCAAGUCGAGCGAACGGACGAGAAGCUUGCUUCUCUGAUGUUAGCGGCGGACGGGUGAGUAACACGUGGAUAACCUACCUAUAAGACUGGGAUAACUUCGGGAAACCGGAGCUAAUACCGGAUAAUAUUUUGAACCGCAUGGUUCAAAAGUGAAAGACGGUCUUGCUGUCACUUAUAGAUGGAUCCGCGCUGCAUUAGCUAGUUGGUAAGGUAACGGCUUACCAAGGCAACGAUGCAUAGCCGACCUGAGAGGGUGAUCGGCCACACGGGAACGGAGACACGGUCCAGACUCCUACGGGAGGCAGCAGUAGGGAAUCUUCCGCAAUGGGCGAAAGCCUGACGGAGCAACGCCGCGUGAGUGAUGAAGGUCUUCGGAUCGUAAAACUCUGUUAUUAGGGAAGAACAUAUGUGUAAGUAACUGUGCACAUCUUGACGGUACCUAAUCAGAAAGCCACGGCUAACUACGUG